This is a non-coding RNA of Acanthosepion pharaonis, 108 nucleotides long. The record is from the annotation of a GenBank genome assembly. NCBI's taxonomy places the organism in Eukaryota, Metazoa, Mollusca, Cephalopoda, Sepiida, Sepiidae.
GGCAUAUCAUGUUGAAACACCUGUUUCUGUACAAUCACCGAAGUUAAGCAACGUCGAGCUAGUUCAGUAUCGAGAUGGGUGACCACUUGGGAAUACCGGGUACUGUAC